This 425-nucleotide ribosomal RNA is filed under the name uncultured bacterium. Its description in RNAcentral is "partial 16S ribosomal RNA". It matches the Rfam family "Bacterial small subunit ribosomal RNA", at positions 354 to 796 of the family's 1533-position model. The record is from RNAcentral.
GUGAGGAAUUUUGCGCAAUGGGGGCAACCCUGACGCAGCGACGCCGCGUGGAGGAUGAAGUCUUUCGGGAUGUAAACUCCUGUCAGUGGGGACGAUAAUGACGGUACCCACAGAGGAAGCACCGGCUAACUCCGUGCCAGCAGCCGCGGUAAGACGGAGGGUGCAAGCGUUGUUCGGAAUUACUGGGCGUAAAGCGUACGUAGGCGGCAAGUUAAGUUCAAUGUUAAAGCCCACGGCUCAACCGAGGAGAUGCAUUGAAUACUGGCUAGCUAGAGGGUGUUAGAGGAAGACGGAAUUCCCAGUGUAGCGGUGAAAUGCGUAGAUAUUGGGAGGAACAUCGGUAGCGAAAGCGGUCUUCUGGGACACACCUGACGCUGAGGUACGAAAGCGUGGGGAGCAAACGGGAUUAGAUACCCGAGUAGUCC